AUAUUUACCUGGCAGAUAAAAGGCUAUGAUCACAAAGGAGAGGCUUAUCCAUUGCACUCAAGAUGUGCUGACUCUGUGAUUUCCCCAAAUGUGGGUAAUUCGACUGCAUAAUUUAUGUAGUAGAGGACUAUGUUCUUGUUCUCCCUUG
Molecule: small nuclear RNA, 148 nt
Filed under: Castor canadensis (American beaver)
Lineage: Eukaryota; Metazoa; Chordata; Mammalia; Rodentia; Castoridae
Description: U1 spliceosomal RNA (ENSCCNG00000010403.1)
Rfam family: U1 spliceosomal RNA
About the family: U1 is a small nuclear RNA (snRNA) component of the spliceosome (involved in pre-mRNA splicing). Its 5' end forms complementary base pairs with the 5' splice junction, thus defining the 5' donor site of an intron. There are significant differences in sequence and secondary structure between metazoan and yeast U1 snRNAs, the latter being much longer (568 nucleotides as compared to 164 nucleotides in human).
Source: Rfam by way of RNAcentral